ACCAAAUGAUCUCAGAUGAGCGCAGAAGCAGGCAACACAGUCAGGCUGUACAUGACAGCUACAGCCUUGGGCAGCCAGCGAGCACCUUUGUUUGCACCAAGGCCUUAGACUGUGGGCAUAAGAUUGCUCAGCUGUGCCAGCAGCAGUGAGGGUGUGCCCCUUGUGCAAAUCUAGGUUGCCCACACCCAGCUGGUCCCAGUUACAUCUUGAUUAAGAAAAAGGAGCCCACCUCCCACUGGAGCAGCUGGUGUGGGUCUGCUCUGUGGGGGCAAAGCACUGGGAAGCUACAGGUGGAGGUUAUCUGGUUAUUGGACUUGAGAAGGACAGACUACAGAAUGCACUCUUAAAAUGGAAUCCUCUGUGAUUGAACUAUAAUGUAAUUUGGGCCUCUUGUAAAGCAAAUUGUAAAGUGA
This is a long non-coding RNA of Numida meleagris (helmeted guineafowl), 413 nucleotides long. RefSeq lists it as uncharacterized. The record is from RefSeq and is a predicted model, not a curated record. Lineage: Eukaryota; Metazoa; Chordata; Aves; Galliformes; Numididae. The transcript has 3 exons.